GGGAAUCUACCCUGAACUGCGGAAUAGCUCCGGGAAACUGGAAUUAAUACCGCACGUGCCCUGAGGGGCAAAGAUUUAUCGGUUCAGGAUGAGCCCGCGUCGGAUUAGCUAGUUGGUGGGGUAAUGGCCUACCAAGGCGACGAUCCGUAGCUGGUCUAAGAGGAUGAUCAGCCACAUUGGGACUGAGACACGGCCCAAACUCCUACGGGAGGCAGCAGUGGGGAAUAUUGGACAAUGGGCGCAAGCCUGAUCCAGCCAUGCCGCGUGAGUGAUGAAGGCCCUAGGGUUGUAAAGCUCUUUCAGUGGGGACGAUAAUGACGGUACCCACAGAAGAAGCCCCGGCUAACUUCGUGCCAGCAGCCGCGGUAAUACGAAGGGGGCUAGCGUUGUUCGGAAUUACUGGGCGUAAAGCGCACGUAGGCGGAUAUUUAAGUCAGGGGUGAAAUCCCGGGGCUCAACCCCGGAACUGCCUUUGAUACUGGAUGUCUUGAGUCCGGAAGAGGUGAGUGGAAUUGCGAGU
Molecule: ribosomal RNA, 520 nt
Filed under: uncultured bacterium
Lineage: Bacteria
Description: bacterial SSU rRNA
Rfam family: Bacterial small subunit ribosomal RNA
Source: RNAcentral